This 103-nucleotide non-coding RNA is filed under the name Neorhizobium sp. R1-B. RNAcentral also lists the same sequence under 1 other name. Lineage: Bacteria; Pseudomonadati; Pseudomonadota; Alphaproteobacteria; Hyphomicrobiales; Rhizobiaceae. The record is from RNAcentral.
AACCGCCCGGUGCGGACCCGCAUGCCGGGUGGUGUGGGAGGGGCGGAGCCAAUAGGCUCCCCCCUAUCCCGAUUGGAGCGGCAAAAAAUACUCCUAUCUCAAU